GGCUGACACUCUAUCCACUGAGCCAAACCGGUAAGGGGGGGGGGACUCAAGAAAUGGUGUUUUUUUUAAACUUGAUAUGCUGUAGAGAAUCAGGAGUCCCAUAUUCUUACCUCGACAAUGAAUAUAGUUCUUCUGUCUGAUUUGGGCCAAUUUCUGUUCCCAUGCUGUUUCUUAGUCAAGAUACCACCUAUUUCUAGUACUUAGUAACCAGCAUCUCCUAGGAGUACUAGAAAAUACUUUAAAUACUAAAUUAUGAAAUGCCAUAUAGUUGUAAAAUGGCCUUAGCUGUCCUGACACCCCAAUUUUUCAUUGUAACAUACAUCUACCAGGAGAGUUUGAUAAUAUGACAGUGUGAAAUAAGCUGUACCUCAUCCAAGAUUCAGUGAAAUGAUAGAAGGGCCCUAUUUUUUAAAAACCAAAAAAGAUAGAAUAUAUUUAAAGGGUUGAUAUCAAAGGCUGGCACACAGCAGGUGCUUAAUGGAUGCUAAGGAGGCAGAACAAUGCAGAGAAAUGGCCUGCUGCAGGCUAUCACACCUGGGUUCCAAUGGGCACUACCACUUAAUGUCGUGGGUGUCCUGACAACUACAGGAGGCUAUUUUUCCUACACGGGGAGACUAAUCCCUUCCUGGCAGAGCGGUAUUGAGGGUUGAUGGAGGUGAACAGGUUGCCAGGGUUUGGGGGUUUGUGCUCAAGCAGUACAUAAUUCUCUGCCCUGGCUGCUCCAGGACUGGGAGCGGCCCGCGCUUCCCUGUAAAUCAGCCUGCAGCCAAGGGCUCGCCAAUCCUUCCUAUGGUUACUAGGAUUUGAAUAGGUAAAAUUUGGGAUGACAACAUGAGAGGUAAGGCUAAGAUAUGGCUCUGGGUCCAGAGAUGGUAUGGAAGUUUGGGGGGGGGGAGGAGCAAAGACU
Molecule: long non-coding RNA, 907 nt
Organism: Myotis brandtii (Brandt's bat)
Lineage: Eukaryota; Metazoa; Chordata; Mammalia; Chiroptera; Vespertilionidae
Exons: 2
Source: RefSeq, a predicted model, not a curated record